Molecule: ribosomal RNA, 165 nt
Filed under: uncultured bacterium
Lineage: Bacteria
Description: partial 16S rRNA
Rfam family: Bacterial small subunit ribosomal RNA
Source: RNAcentral
UAGGGAAUCUUCGGCAAUGGGGGCAACCCUGACCGAGCAACGCCGCGUGAGUGAAGAAGGUUUCGGUAUCGUAAAGCUCUGUUGUAAGAGAAGAACGUGUGUGAGAGUGGAAAGUUCACACAGUGACGGUAACUUACCAGAAAGGGACGGCUAACUACGUGCCAG